RNAcentral lists this unclassified non-coding RNA (253 nucleotides) under uncultured Parcubacteria group bacterium. RNAcentral describes it as "contains 16S-23S intergenic spacer region". It matches the Rfam family "Bacterial small subunit ribosomal RNA", at positions 524 to 776 of the family's 1533-position model. The record is from RNAcentral.
UACGAGUGCCCCGAGCGUUAUCCGGAAUCAUUGGGCGUAAAGGGUGCGUAGGUUGUUUUGUUAGUCUCCUGUUAAAUUCUUCGGCUCAACCGGGGGCUUGCAGGGGAAACGGCAAGACUAGAGGAUGUGAGAGGUGUGCGGAACUCAUGGUGUAGGGGUGAAAUCCGUUGAUAUCAUGGGGAACACCAAAGGCGAAGGCAGCACACUGGCACAUUCCUGACGCUGAGGCACGAAAGCGUGGGGAUCGAACGGG